UCGGGCCUCUUGCCAUCGGAUGUGCCCAGAUGGGAUUAGCUAGUAGGUGGGGUAACGGCUCACCUAGGCGACGAUCCCUAGCUGGUCUGAGAGGAUGACCAGCCACACUGGAACUGAGACACGGUCCAGACUCCUACGGGAGGCAGCAGUGGGGAAUAUUGCACAAUGGGCGCAAGCCUGAUGCAGCCAUGCCGCGUGUAUGAAGAAGGCCUUCGGGUUGUAAAGUACUUUCAGCGGGGAGGAAGGGAGUAAAGUUAAUACCUUUGCUCAUUGACGUUACCCGCAGAAGAAGCACCGGCUAACUCCGUGCCAGCAGCCGCGGUAAUACGGAGGGUGCAAGCGUUAAUCGGAAUUACUGGGCGUAAAGCGCACGCAGGCGGUUUGUUAAGUCAGAUGUGAAAUCCCCGGGCUCAACCUGGGAACUGCAUCUGAUACUGGCAAGCUUGAGUCUCGUAGAGGGGGGUAGAAUUCCAGGUGUAGCGGUGAAAUGCGUAGAGAUCUGGAGGAAUACCGGUGGCGAAGGCGGCCCCCUGGACGAAGACUGAC
Molecule: ribosomal RNA, 546 nt
Filed under: Escherichia coli
Lineage: Bacteria; Pseudomonadati; Pseudomonadota; Gammaproteobacteria; Enterobacterales; Enterobacteriaceae
Description: bacterial SSU rRNA
Rfam family: Bacterial small subunit ribosomal RNA
Source: RNAcentral